Molecule: ribosomal RNA, 451 nt
Filed under: uncultured organism
Description: partial 16S ribosomal RNA
Rfam family: Bacterial small subunit ribosomal RNA
Source: RNAcentral
CACUCCUGCGGGAGGCAGCAGUGGGGAAUAUUGGACAAUGGGCGCAAGCCUGAUCCAGCCAUGCCGCGUGAGUGAUGAAGGCCCUAGGGUUGUAAAGCUCUUUCACCGGUGAAGAUAAUGACGGUAACCGGAGAAGAAGCCCCGGCUAACUUCGUGCCAGCAGCCGCGGUAAUACGAAGGGGGCUAGCGUUGUUCGGAUUUACUGGGCGUAAAGCGCACGUAGGCGGACUAUUAAGUCAGGGGUGAAAUCCCGGGGCUCAACCCCGGAACUGCCUUUGAUACUGGUAGUCUUGAGUUCGAGAGAGGUGAGUGGAAUUCCGAGUGUAGAGGUGAAAUUCGUAGAUAUUCGGAGGAACACCAGUGGCGAAGGCGGCUCACUGGCUCGAUACUGACGCUGAGGUGCGAAAGCGUGGGGAGCAAACAGGAUUAGAAACCCCGGUAGUCCCAUGAU